RNAcentral lists this small RNA (603 nucleotides) under Pan troglodytes (chimpanzee). RNAcentral's name for it is "processed transcript". The record is from RNAcentral. Lineage: Eukaryota; Metazoa; Chordata; Mammalia; Primates; Hominidae.
GCUACAGUGGAUGCGAACUACCCAUGCAGCAGCAGCCGGAACCCACAGUUCACCUUGGUGCGUUCCUUUAUGAUGAAGACUUAUUGAUUCAUUAUAUGAGAAAGGAAAAAUGAGCAGAAACUACUGUAUGAUGUGCAGCUCACACCAGACAGCACCUUUAGGUGCUUCAUGCAGACAUCUAUACACCAGAUUUACUUCUGCAAAAUGCUGAUGCUAUGAAUAAUGCUUUUGAAUAUUAAUAAGGCAAAACAGACCAGAUAAGAUUAGCAUAUUCGUAGUCUGGAAAAUGCUAUACAAAGAAUGUAAAACAUGAAACUACUUGUGGACCAAAUGAAAAACUGUGGAGCAGAUUAUGAUGCAGUUAGACCUUGCUUGAAUGACUUCGACCCACAAAAGCAGAGUAAUUUAUCCCUACUUACAGAGAGAUUGCCCUACGUGUAACAGCUGCAUACAAAAAAGUUAUAAAAUUAUCAUUGGUUUAACAAGGAUAAAUGAAAAACAUUAAAAUUCUCCAACUGAACAAGGUGUGUCUGUUUCAUUGAUUGGCUGACUGUCAAAUCGGAAUCUGAUCUGCCCCAUUGACAAUGCCUUGGGCUUUUCCUC